UAACUAAGUUCACCAUCAAGGCUUCAUGUUUUACAUCAUUUUCUCUACUCUGUACACUGUGAUGUGCCUCUUCCUGAUGUUCACCUGCCCGAUCCUGAGAUGAUGAACUUCCAGCAGCUGCUUCUUUCACUAUGGAAUGAAGGUGAAACUAAAUGUUAUAGGUACCUAUACACUGUUGUAUUUGAUGUUUCCGUGUCAUUCACAGCAGAAGCAUUUGUGCAAGUCCUUGUCCCAAUUGAGAUAUAUUUGAAAAAGCCGACAGAUGCAUAAAAAAUGAAAAGAAAAAACAGAUUCAAGACUACAUCACAGAUAGAGAAAAGCACCUGAUUUGCUCAAAAGGUAUGUGAACCUUAGAAAAAAAAGAGUAAGCUAAGUUUAAUGAAAAUAAACCAAUGUAUCCAACAGCUUUCUCAUCCUUGGAAGAACUGUAUACUUAUAUCUGUGCUACUAAACUGAGUGUGAACGGGAGGGUUUCUGGACAUGGAGACCAAUUUCCAGAGCAUGAUCCAAGUCUGUGUUUGUAAAAUGCCUUAUCCCUAACACCAAGGUUGGCUGCAUGCAAGUUGCCUACGAAUAACAGCUCCGGAAGGACCUAGUUCCUCAACUGUACCUGAGAAUUGCUUGGAAAAGAAUAAGAGGAGCAUUGACAAAAGGUGAGCUGGCUUUUCCAACAGUAUAACACUAUUACACACCAUAUUCCAUUUCCAAGCAGUGCUAUGUUUUGAGAUAUAUACAUACAUAUAUGUCCCCUCUGGUUGCCGGGAAAGCUACUGCUUU
Falco peregrinus (peregrine falcon) is the source of this 777-nucleotide long non-coding RNA. RefSeq lists it as uncharacterized. Lineage: Eukaryota; Metazoa; Chordata; Aves; Falconiformes; Falconidae. The transcript has 3 exons. The record is from RefSeq and is a predicted model, not a curated record.